RNAcentral lists this ribosomal RNA (856 nucleotides) under uncultured bacterium. RNAcentral's name for it is "SSU rRNA". It matches the Rfam family "Bacterial small subunit ribosomal RNA", at positions 524 to 1381 of the family's 1533-position model. The record is from RNAcentral.
UACGAAGGGACCUAGCGUAGUUCGGAAUUACUGGGCUUAAAGAGUUCGUAGGUGGUUGAAAAAGUUAGUGGUGAAAUCCCAGAGCUUAACUCUGGAACUGCCAUUAAAACUUUUCAGCUAGAGUAUGAUAGAGGAAAGCAGAAUUUCUAGUGUAGAGGUGAAAUUCGUAGAUAUUAGAAAGAAUACCAAUUGCGAAGGCAGCUUUCUGGAUCAUUACUGACACUGAGGAACGAAAGCAUGGGUAGCGAAGAGGAUUAGAUACCCUCGUAGUCCAUGCCGUAAACGAUGUGUGUUAGACGUUGGAAAUUUAUUUUCAGUGUCGCAGCGAAAGCGAUAAACACACCGCCUGGGGAGUACGACCGCAAGGUUAAAACUCAAAUGAAUUGACGGGGACCCGCACAAGUAGUGGAGCAUGUGGUUUAAUUCGAAGAUACGCGCAGAACCUUACCAACACUUGACAUGUUCGUCGCGACUCUAAGAGAUUAGAGUUUUCGGUUCGGCCGGACGAAACACAGGUGCUGCAUGGCUGUCGUUAGCUCGUGUCGUGAGAUGUUGGGUUAAGUCCCGCAACGAGCGCAACCCUCACUUUUAGUUGCCAUCAUUAAGUUGGGCACUCUGAAAGAACUGCCAGUGAUAAGCUGGAGGAAGGUGGGGAUGACGUCAAGUCCUCAUGGCCCUUACGUGUUGGGCUACACACGUGCUACAAUGGUAUCUACAACAGGAAGCAAGACUGCGAGGUCAAGCAAAUCCUUAAAAGAUACCUCAGUUCGGAUUGCACUCUGCAACUCGAGUGCAUGAAGCUGGAAUUACUAGUAAUCGUGGAUCAGCGUGCCACGGUGAAUGCGUUCCCGGGUCU